UACAGAGGUGGCAAGCGUUGUUCGGAAUUACUGGGCGUAAAGGGCGCGUAGGCGGCCAUCUAAGUCAGACGUGAAAUCCCCCGGCUUAACCUGGGAACUGCGUCUGAUACUGGACGGCUAGAGUUUGGGAGAGGGAUGCAGAAUUCCAGGUGUAGCGGUGAAAUGCGUAGAUAUCUGGAGGAAUACCGGUGGCGAAGGCGGCAUCCUGGACCAAUAUUGACGCUGAGGAGCGAAAGCCAGGGGAGCAAACAGG
This 253-nucleotide ribosomal RNA is filed under the name uncultured bacterium. Its description in RNAcentral is "partial 16S ribosomal RNA". It matches the Rfam family "Bacterial small subunit ribosomal RNA", at positions 524 to 776 of the family's 1533-position model. The record is from RNAcentral.